RNAcentral lists this ribosomal RNA (497 nucleotides) under uncultured bacterium. Its description in RNAcentral is "partial 16S ribosomal RNA". It matches the Rfam family "Bacterial small subunit ribosomal RNA", at positions 28 to 507 of the family's 1533-position model. The record is from RNAcentral.
GAUGAACGCUGGCGGCGUGCCUAAUACAUGCAAGUCGAGCGAACGGACGAGAAGCUUGUUUCUCUGAUGUUAGCGGCGGACGGGUGAGUAACACGUGGAUAACCUACCUAUAAGACUGGGAUAACUUCGGGAAACCGGAGCUAAUACCGGAUAAUAUUUUGAACCGCAUGGUUCAAAAGUAAAAGACGGUCUUGCUGUCACUUAUAGAUGGAUCCGCGCUGCAUUAGCUAGUUGGUAAGGUAACGGCUUACCAAGGCAACGAUGCAUAGCCGACCUGAGAGGGUGAUCGGCCACACUGGAACUGAGACACGGUCCAGACUCCUACGGGAGGCAGCAGUAGGGAAUCUUCCGCAAUGGGCGAAAGCCUGACGGAGCAACGCCGCGUGAGUGAUGAAGGUCUUCGGAUCGUAAAACUCUGUUAUUAGGGAAGAACAUAUGUGUAAGUAACUGUGCACAUCUUGACGGUACCUAAUCAGAAAGCCACGGCUAACUACGUG